UUAAGCGACUAAGCGUACACGGUGGAUGCCCUGGCAGUCAGAGGCGAUGAAGGACGUGCUAAUCUGCGAAAAGCGUCGGUAAGGUGAUAUGAACCGUUAUAGCCGGCGAUGUCCGAAUGGGGAAACCCAGUGCAAUUCGUUGCACUAUCGUUAACUGAAUACAUAGGUUAACGAGGCGAACCGGGGGAACUGAAACAUCUAAGUACCCCGAGGAAAAGAAAUCAACCGAGAUUCCCCCAGUAGCGGCGAGCGAACGGGGAGCAGCCCAGAGUCUGAAUCAGCUUGUGUGUUAGUGGAACGGUCUGGAAAGUCCGACGGUACAGGGUGAUAGUCCCGUACACCAAAAUGCACAGGUUGUGAACUCGAAGAGUAGGGCGGGACACGUGGUAUCCUGUCUGAAUAUGGGGGGACCAUCCUCCAAGGCUAAAUACUCCUGACUGACCGAUAGUGAACCAGUACCGUGAGGGAAAGGCGAAAAGAACCCCGGCGAGGGGAGUGAAAAAGAACCUGAAACCGUGUACGUACAAGCAGUGGGAGCACCUUCGGGUGUGACUGCGUACCUUUUGUAUAAUGGGUCAGCGACUUAUAUUCUGUAGCAAGGUUAACCGUAUAGGGGAGCCGCAGGGAAACCGAGUCUUAACUGGGCGUUAAGUUGCAGGGUAUAGACCCGAAACCCGGUGAUCUAGCCAUGGGCAGGUUGAAGGUUGGGUAACACUAACUGGAGGACCGAACCGACUAAUGUUGAAAAAUUAGCGGAUGACUUGUGGCUGGGGGUGAAAGGCCAAUCAAACCGGGAGAUAGCUGGUUCUCCCCGAAAGCUAUUUAGGUAGCGCCUCGUGAAUUCAUCUUCGGGGGUAGAGCACUGUUUCGGCUAGGGGGUCAUCCCGACUUACCAACCCGAUGCAAACUACGAAUACCGAAGAAUGUUAUCACGGGAGACACACGGCGGGUGCUAACGUCCGUCGUGAAGAGGGAAACAACCCAGACCGCCAGCUAAGGUCCCAAAGUCAUGGUUAAGUGGGAAACGAUGUGGGAAGGCACAGACAGCCAGGAUGUUGGCUUAGAAGCAGCCAUCAUUUAAAGAAAGCGUAAUAGCUCACUGGUCGAGUCGGCCUGCGCGGAAGAUGUAACGGGGCUAAACCAUGCACCGAAGCUGCGGCAGCGACACUAUGUGUUGUUGGGUAGGGGAGCGUUCUGUAAGCCUGCGAAGGUGACCUGUGAGGGUUGCUGGAGGUAUCAGAAGUGCGAAUGCUGACAUAAGUAACGAUAAAGCGGGUGAAAAGCCCGCUCGCCGGAAGACCAAGGGUUCCUGUCCAACGUUAAUCGGGGCAGGGUGAGUCGACCCCUAAGGCGAGGCCGAAAGGCGUAGUCGAUGGGAAACAGGUUAAUAUUCCUGUACUUGGUGUUACUGCGAAGGGGGGACGGAGAAGGCUAUGUUAGCCGGGCGACGGUUGUCCCGGUUUAAGCAUGUAGGCUGAUUGUCCAGGCAAAUCCGGAUAAUCAAGGCUGAGGUGUGAUGACGAGGCACUACGGUGCUGAAGUAACAAAUGCCCUGCUUCCAGGAAAAGCCUCUAAGCAUCAGGUAACAUUAAAUCGUACCCCAAACCGACACAGGUGGUCAGGUAGAGAAUACCAAGGCGCUUGAGAGAACUCGGGUGAAGGAACUAGGCAAAAUGGUGCCGUAACUUCGGGAGAAGGCACGCUGGUGUGUAGGUGAAGCCCCUGCGGGUGGAGCUGAGACCAGUCGAAGAUACCAGCUGGCUGCAACUGUUUAUUAAAAACACAGCACUGUGCAAACACGAAAGUGGACGUAUACGGUGUGACGCCUGCCCGGUGCCGGAAGGUUAAUUGAUGGGGUUAUCCGUAAGGAGAAGCUCUUGAUCGAAGCCCCGGUAAACGGCGGCCGUAACUAUAACGGUCCUAAGGUAGCGAAAUUCCUUGUCGGGUAAGUUCCGACCUGCACGAAUGGCGUAAUGAUGGCCAGGCUGUCUCCACCCGAGACUCAGUGAAAUUGAACUCGCUGUGAAGAUGCAGUGUACCCGCGGCAAGACGGAAAGACCCCGUGAACCUUUACUAUAGCUUGACACUGAACAUUGAGCCUUGAUGUGUAGGAUAGGUGGGAGGCUUUGAAGCGUGGACGCCAGUCUGCGUGGAGCCAACCUUGAAAUACCACCCUUUAAUGUUUGAUGUUCUAACGUUGGCCCCUUACCGGGGUUGCGGACAGUGUCUGGUGGGUAGUUUGACUGGGGCGGUCUCCUCCCAAAGCGUAACGGAGGAGCACGAAGGUUAGCUAAUCCUGGUCGGACAUCAGGAGGUUAGUGCAAUGGCAUAAGCUAGCUUGACUGCGAGCGUGACGGCGCGAGCAGGUGCGAAAGCAGGUCAUAGUGAUCCGGUGGUUCUGAAUGGAAGGGCCAUCGCUCAACGGAUAAAAGGUACUCCGGGGAUAACAGGCUGAUACCGCCCAAGAGUUCAUAUCGACGGCGGUGUUUGGCACCUCGAUGUCGGCUCAUCACAUCCUGGGGCUGAAGUAGGUCCCAAGGGUAUGGCUGUUCGCCAUUUAAAGUGGUACGCGAGCUGGGUUUAGAACGUCGUGAGACAGUUCGGUCCCUAUCUGCCGUGGGCGCUGGAGAAUUGAGGGGGGCUGCUCCUAGUACGAGAGGACCGGAGUGGACGCAUCACUGGUGUUCGGGUUGUCAUGCCAAUGGCACUGCCCGGUAGCUAAAUGCGGAAGAGAUAAGUGCUGAAAGCAUCUAAGCACGAAACUUGCCCCGAGAUGAGUUCUCCCUGAGACUUUAAGUCUCCUGAAGGAACGUUGAAGACGACGACGUUGAUAGGCCGGGUGUGUAAGCGCAGCGAUGCGUUGAGCUAACCGGUACUAAUGAACCGUGAGGCUUAACCUU
Molecule: ribosomal RNA, 2900 nt
Filed under: Klebsiella pneumoniae
Lineage: Bacteria; Pseudomonadati; Pseudomonadota; Gammaproteobacteria; Enterobacterales; Enterobacteriaceae
Description: bacterial LSU rRNA
Rfam family: Bacterial large subunit ribosomal RNA
Source: RNAcentral